RNAcentral lists this ribosomal RNA (474 nucleotides) under Candida albicans. RNAcentral describes it as "SSU rRNA". It matches the Rfam family "Eukaryotic small subunit ribosomal RNA", at positions 539 to 1031 of the family's 1831-position model. The record is from RNAcentral. Lineage: Eukaryota; Fungi; Ascomycota; Pichiomycetes; Serinales; Debaryomycetaceae.
GAUUUUAUUUGGAAGGGGGAAGUCUGGUGCCAGCAGCCGCGGUAAUUCCAGCUCCAAAAGCGUAUAUUAAAGUUGUUGCAGUUAAAAAGCUCGUAGUUGAACCUUGGGCUUGGCUGGCCGGUCCAUCUUUUUGAUGCGUACUGGACCCAGCCGAGCCUUUCCUUCUGGGUAGCCAUUUAUGGCGAACCAGGACUUUUACUUUGAAAAAAUUAGAGUGUUCAAAGCAGGCCUUUGCUCGAAUAUAUUAGCAUGGAAUAAUAGAAUAGGACGUUAUGGUUCUAUUUUGUUGGUUUCUAGGACCAUCGUAAUGAUUAAUAGGGACGGUCGGGGGUAUCAGUAUUCAGUUGUCAGAGGUGAAAUUCUUGGAUUUACUGAAGACUAACUACUGCGAAAGCAUUUACCAAGGACGUUUUCAUUAAUCAAGAACGAAAGUUAGGGGAUCGAAGAUGAUCUAGAUACGUCGUAGUUCCCCCC